GGGGUGCUCGAGUGGCGAACGGGUGAGUAACACGUGAGUAACCUGCCCUUGACUUUGGGAUAACUUCAGGAAACUGGGGCUAAUACCGGAUAGGAGCUCCUGCCGCAUGGUGGGGGUUGGAAAGUUUCGGCGGUUGGGGAUGGACUCGCGGCUUAUCAGCUUGUUGGUGGGGUAGUGGCUUACCAAGGCUUUGACGGGUAGCCGGCCUGAGAGGGUGACCGGCCACAUUGGGACUGAGAUACGGCCCAG
Molecule: ribosomal RNA, 249 nt
Filed under: uncultured Actinomycetales bacterium
Lineage: Bacteria; Bacillati; Actinomycetota; Actinomycetes; Actinomycetales
Description: partial 16S ribosomal RNA
Rfam family: Bacterial small subunit ribosomal RNA
Source: RNAcentral